Molecule: ribosomal RNA, 468 nt
Filed under: uncultured bacterium
Lineage: Bacteria
Description: partial 16S ribosomal RNA
Rfam family: Bacterial small subunit ribosomal RNA
Source: RNAcentral
GAUGAACGCUGGCGGCGUGCUUAACACAUGCAAGUCGAGCGGAAAGACGAUGCUUUUGCGGGGUGCUCGAGUGGCGAGGGGGUGUGUAACACAUGAGUAUACUGUACCUGACUUUGGGAUAACUUCAGGGAAAUGGGGCUAAUACAGGGUAGGAGCUCCUGAUGCAUGGGGGGGGUUGGAAAGUGUCGGCGGUGGUGGCUGGACUAGCGGCUUAUCAGCUUGUUGGGCGGGUAGUGGCGGACAAAGGCUUUGACGGGUAGCCGGCCUGAGAGGGUGACCGGGCACAAUGGGACUGCGGUACGGCGCAGACGCGUACGGGCGGCAGCGGUGGGGAAUAUGGCGCAGUGGGCGGAAGCCUGUUGCGGCGGCGCCGCGUUCGGGAUGACGGCUUUCGGGUUGUGAACCGCUUUCGCCGGUGACGAAGCGUGAGUGACGGUAAUGGGUAAAGAAGCACCGGCUAACUACGUG